This 482-nucleotide ribosomal RNA is filed under the name uncultured bacterium. RNAcentral describes it as "partial 16S ribosomal RNA". It matches the Rfam family "Bacterial small subunit ribosomal RNA", at positions 28 to 523 of the family's 1533-position model. The record is from RNAcentral.
AGUGAACGUUGGCGGCGUGGAUUAGGCAUGCAAGUCGAGCGAGAACCGUAGCAAUACGGGGAUAGCGGCGAAAGGGACAGUAAUGUGUAGGUACCUACCUCCGGGUUCGGGAUAGCUGCGGGAAACUGCAGGUAAUACCGAACAACGUCUCCGGACCAAAGGUGUGAUUCCACCUAGAGAGGGGCCUGCAUCCUAUUAGCUUGUUGGCGGGGUAACGGCCCACCAAGGCGACGAUGGGUAGCGGGUGUGAGAGCACGACCCGCGUCAUUGGGACUGAGACACGGCCCAGACACCUACGGGUGGCUGCAGUCGAGGAUCUUCGGCAAUGGGCGAAAGCCUGACCGAGCGACGCCGCGUGCGGGAUGAAGGCCUUCGGGUUGUAAACCGCUGUCGUAGAGGAGGAAGUGCAGGGGGGUUCUCCCUUCUGUUUGACCUAUUCUAGGAGGAAGGACGGGCUAAGUUCGUGCCAGCAGCCGCCGUAA